This 969-nucleotide long non-coding RNA is filed under the name Anser cygnoides (Swan goose). Its description in RNAcentral is "lncRNA (ENSACDG00005014787.1)". The record is from RNAcentral. Lineage: Eukaryota; Metazoa; Chordata; Aves; Anseriformes; Anatidae.
AUGAUGCGCCCCAAGGAUCAGGCACUAGUGGAAUUAUGUGACCCAGAAAGGCUCCAGGUGUGUCUGAGGCUUCAAAGCCUGCCGAUGCUCUCUCUGGCGCUCAGAGCCCUCACCAUGUUGUCAGAGAGACCUAAGAUGGAGUCCAGUGAGGUGCAAGAGCGCUCCAUUCUUCUCUUCAAAGACUUGAUGGAGUGUGUGGUGUGGUGGAAAAAAGGAGAAAUGAAGAAGACCAUGCGCAGGGCCCUUAUUCCACUGUUGUUCCGGAUGAGUGAUGAGACUGAGAGCGUGGCCAAGGCGUCAGCAGUAGUCCUACUUGCUUGUACAAUGUUCCUGAAGUGGAAACAGCUUGAGCACCUGGCUCAGAACGAAGACAUCACUAGGAUUAGGGAGUACUUGGUAAGGAGAACCGCCCAGCCCCACGCCCCAAAUGGACAAGCCUGCCCGAUGUGCCCAGGCUGUGGGCUGUGCAGCUGUGCGUGGCCUGCGCUGCUCCAGCCCAGAGUCCACCGCCUGCUGCUGCCCUGUGGCUCCCUUCCCUCCAGCACAGAGCCCCAAGGGCUCUUCUGCAGGCCCCCCUGCCUUCCCCACCCCCAGGAUGCGGAGGAGAGCCUAGCCCAUCUGGGCCUUGGCAGCGGGACAGAAGGGUCUCCUAACUCUCUCCAAACCUCGGCCCCACAGAGCUCCUGGCUGGGAGCUGGGGAUGGCCUGGGGGAAAGGGGGAGGGGGGUGCUGGCAGGAGGGACUGGUCCGGCUGGCUGGGGAGGGUAUGUGAGCCCCGCGCCCUUGUGCUUUCUCCAGCUCAAGCAGAAGAGCAGCAGGGUGGACGAAUACCUGCAGCAGAGCCUGCCAUACCUGGAGGAUGCUCAGGCCAACUUGCGACAGGAGGCUGUCAAAUUCAUCGCGUUUGCUGCAUUGCACUCCGGGGACCUAGACAAAGAGAAGCUGCGUAUGAUCAUCACCUGUGAGUGA